Molecule: long non-coding RNA, 2555 nt
Organism: Hippoglossus stenolepis (Pacific halibut)
Lineage: Eukaryota; Metazoa; Chordata; Actinopteri; Pleuronectiformes; Pleuronectidae
Exons: 3
Source: RefSeq, a predicted model, not a curated record
CCUCCUGCAUCUGGGUCUGCUGCUUCUGCCAGAGGGAGACGAGAUAACAAGCAGGUAUUGUACAGAACAAUGUGGUGAAGCUUGGGCUCAUCACAGAAUAUCCUGCUUUCUGCCUUCUGUUUUUUUUUUUUACUCUAUAAAUGUAACGUGAAAUCCCUCAAUAUUUAGUCUUCUUUGGUUUGUGGAGCAAAAAUUGAAUUGUGUAUUAAAUAAACCAUUAAACUAACCAUUACCAAGUAAAUGUAUUGCAUAGAAACCUUGCAUGUAACAGCUGUUUGAAUGCUUGUGUUGUCCACGAUGCUUUGAGCAAAUAAACCUGUUAAAACCUUCAGAUUAAUACAGAUAUUGUAAAGUGGUUAAACUAAAAACAAGUCAGUUUUAACAGCUGAAAUUAUCAUAGGUCAUAUAUAUUAAUGAAAAUUUGGUAAUUCUUUCAAAACAGCUACUGUAAACUUAAGAAAUACUAAAGUGUGUCUGUACAUAACUGUGAGUAUAUGAAUCUUUAUGAAGAUAUUUUCUUGUAUGUAGUUUCUUACCAGCAAAGUAUCCACAAGCUCAUUAUCAUGUUUACCCUUCUCCAGCAGGGUGGAAACUUGGACCUUCAGAGUUUUCAUCUCAGCAGACAGAGAUUUGUUCCUGGCUUUAGAGGCUUCCAGCUUUUUCUUCCCAUCCUCGUGGUCUUUCUGGAGGUUCUCAUAUUCCACUGAGAUUCUCUGUACAGGAGAGCAGGGCCUCGCUACAUUAACAAAAUCAUAUUUCAGUUUGUUAAAUCCUGUUUAUAACAUGUAUACGCACCUCGAACGCCUGCCUCUUCUCCUUCUCCAUGGAGUGGAUGUAGCUGAGGUUCCUCUCUUGAGGAGGGGUCUUCAGAAGGACCCCCGUGCCCAGGAACUCGUCCUCUACACUCAGGACGCUUGGCUGUCGCCGCUGAGUCGACUGGUUCAGCUGCUGCUCGAGGUCCCGCACCUGUUGAACAAGGUCAUUCCAUCUAUGUCUGUUACACGGCUUGUGCGACAGCCCGAUAUUCAUGAUUUUACAUUUUAUUGACAAAUUUUAAAAACAUGAAUUAUUGAUAUUGUGUCAAUGAUGCUCACGUUGUGCAAAUCAAUACUGUGCCUCUAAAAUCAUUAUUAUGGUAAUCAUAAUGGGAAUAUCUAUCCACCAUUGUUCUGACCAUCAGCGGAUCGGCACUUCCCUUGUAAAUAUUAGUAUUAGUGGUAUUUUUGGAAUAAUAUCAUUAUUAUUUCUUUUAAUUUUCUAAAAAUAUCCUGCCAGCCCUAAUCUGCAAUCAUGUACUAGUGGCUUUGAAAAGCCCUCUGUUAAUGUGAUUCACCGUGUAGCUUAAAGUUGAGGAGCACAUCACGAUUCAGGAUAUCCUUUAAUUUACCCUCACCCUCGUCUGAAGAACCAGUAUCUGUUGAGCGCGACCUCUGAAGCUCCCCGGGCAGCUCAGUAAUUGCUGAAGGUUGACCUCCUCUCCAACCUCACUGAUUAAAACCUGCAGCAACAGAAGAACAGAUUUUAGAUUAUAGAGGUCACUGCAUGAUCUGCCACUCGUGCAGAAAAAACAGCUUCUACCUUCUGAGCUACUUUCAUCUCCUGUUUGAGGGAUUGGACCUGGUUUCGACAUUCAGACAAUCUCAGCUGGGCAGCGGCUAAUUUUUCCUGCAGAGAUUUCACCGCUGGAUUUUCCUGCUUUUGCGAUCAAAUGGUAAACGAUUUUAGAUUUGAUUGCCAUCAUAGUUAGGAAAUAUCAAUUUUUACUGCAUCUUCUUUAAUAAUUACCUCACAGUCUUCUGAUAAUCUCUUAAUCUGGGAUUUUGUGUCUGUGUUUUGCCCAGAGGGAGAGUGCACCAACGCAGACUGUAGCUAUAGGAAGGAGCAUAACAUUAGAAUUAUCUUUAAUUAUUGUGAACUUUAAUAAACCUUCAUCCGACAAAUCAGAUUAAAUGACACCAGAGUUUGUUACCUCUUUCUCAAGCUCUUUGAUUCUGUUGCUGUUUUGCUUGGACCUGGUCUUUUCUCUCUCGAUCUCAGCGCUCAGCUCCCUGUUCUUCUUGGACAGGUCAACAAUCCUGGUGGCUGCUGCGUCCCCAGCCAAGCCCGACGUGCCUGAUGACGAAGACACACGGUGUUUAAUUUCAAAAUCCUUUUCUCCGAGAAGUUUGAAGAGACGACCAUUUUCAUCUUUGAGCUCUCGCAGCUCAUCAAGCAAAUUCUGCUCGUCGUCCUGCACAUGUCUAUGGGAAGGCCGGUUGUCUGCCUGAAUGUCUUGUUUCAACACACCCGAAUCCUCCUGUGUAACCUCGACAUUGAGCUUGUCCGGUUCUUUCUCCUUCUUCCUGUCCAGCUUUCUCUUCUCCUGCUGCUUCUGCAGCAUUUGGAACUGAAGCUGCAACUCAUCCAGCUCAUCACAGCGGGCCAUGAUCUGCGACACAUACAUCAUGAGUAGAGAAUAACGGUGGGAAAGGAUGGAGAGAAAUCAAUAUCAUGAAAAGAAAGUGUAUAUAUUGUCUAUACUUAUAAAUAAAAAGGGAAUUCCAUGAUAUCCUGAA